AUGGAGUCAGGCGAUACCAAAUUUGAUGCAUCACAGUAUGCUUUCUUUGGUAACAAUGUCUUGGAGGAGGUUGAGCUAGGUGGAUUGGAUGAUGAUGAUGCUGGUUUUGUUGGGCCUGGUGACAAAGAAUACACUCCUAUUUAUGGAAGGGAUAUGUUGGAGGAAGGUCAACCGCUCAUUGGUCAAGCUUUGCUUUCGCAGGACGAAGGUGUAGGUUCAUUUGCUGGUGUUGAUGAUCUUGCCGGGGCAUUCUCAAAGCUGACCAGAACUGUUAAUGAACCAAAGCAAUCAGGAAUAGUUAGUCGUGGGGGAUCGUUACCUGGACAAACUUCCACUGCUGACUGGGCACAAGAGGCUGAAUCAUCGUACUGGCCUACACAGCCUGCAUUGGGUGCUGAACAACGGCUGGACAACAAAAACUGGUGGUCUCAACCACCCCAUCCAGCCCAGUUUGCUGAUUCCAGACUUCAGAGGACAUCCUCAUCCCCGCAACAAGAUGCUCAGUACAAUCCUAUUGAACCUAUUCUCGGACCAAGGCCAUCUCCUUUGCAGAGAAUGUCAUCAUAUCCUCACCAAGAGCCGCAAUACAAUAAUAUUGAACUGAUUCGUGGGAAUGGUAGCAGAUUUACACCAGCUUUGAUGCAGCAUCCAAAUGGAUUUAUACCACCUCAAAUGCCGCCACCCCAUCAACAAAACGGAAUGCUCCCAAUUCAACACUCUCCACCCCAGUUCUCACAACUACAUGCCCAGAUGCUUGGUGCCCAACAUUCUCCGCCACAAAAUCUGCAGAUGUUUGGUCCUCGGCAUCCUUCACCACAAAUGAUGGGUAGAUUUGAUCCAAAUUUUGUUAUGCCUGACUUGAGUGAUCCCAGAGCCAGAUCGAUGUUACACCAUGGAAGGCAUGGCCCGCGCUAUCCUCCCCAAGGUUUUGAGCCUGGUAAUAUGAGAAUGGAUAAUAGGUGGCAGCGGUUCAGAUCCAAGUACAUGUCCACUGAAGAAAUUGAGAACAUCGCAAGGAUGCAGAAAGCUGCCACUCAGAUCACCGAUCCAUAUAUUGAUGAUUACUAUCAUCAAGCUUGUUUGGCCAGAAAAUCAGCAGGAGCACAACUGAAGCACUACUUCUGUCCAACCUUGAUCAGAGAUACAUCUUCUCGUACACGCAGUAAGGAUGAGCCACAUGCAUAUCUUCAGGUUGAUGCUCUUGGGAGGCUUCCAUUUUCCUCCAUCCGCAGGCCCCGUCCGCUCCUUGAUGUUGAAGAAGCCUCUGAACCAAGUGAUAGCACUACUGAAAAAUCUGCUUCAAAAUCUCUUGACCAAGAGCCGAUGCUGGCUGCUAGAAUCACAAUUGAAGAUGGCCUUUGCCUACUACUGGAUGUGGAUGAUAUAGAUCGUUUGCUUCACUUUAGUAAACAGCCAGAUGGUGGUUUGCAACUUAGAAACAGAAGACAGGCUCUUCUCGAGCAGCUGGCAGAAUCACUGCAAUUAGUUGAUCCACUUACAUCUAAUAAGGAUGCACCUCUGUCGCAAAAUGAUGAUCUAGUGUUUCUCCGCAUAGUAUCUCUACCGAAGGGCCGGAAACUACUUUCUCGUUAUAUUGAUCUUGUUACUUCAGGUAGUGAGCUUGCAAGGGUUGUUUGCAUGGCAGUUUUCCGGAAUCUAAGAUCUAUAUUCGGCAAUUUGCCCUCUGAUAGCAGCAUAGCUGGGACCACAACUAAACUUGUAUGUGCCGUAUCCACCUGUGUUGUUCGGAUGGACUUGAGUGGACUCAGUGCUUGUCUUGCAGCUGUUGCGUGUUCGUCACAGCAACCACCUCUUCGACCUCUGGGAUAUGCUGCUGGUGACGGCGCUUCUGUCAUCAUAAAGUCUCUACUGGACAGAGCUACAGAUCUUCUUACUGAUCAACAUGUGGCCUCUGCUUACAGCAUGCAGAACCGAACUCUAUGGCAGGCAUCAUUUGAUGCCUUCUUCGGGCUACUUAUGGGGUAUUGCAUGAGUAAAUUUGAUACUGUGGUUCAUACAGUGCAAAUGCAACCUGCUGCUGCAGCUGUGAUAAGCAGGGAAACACCAGUGGAGCUGUUGCGUGCCAGCCUUCCUCACACAAAUGAGUAUCAGCGCAAGCAGUUGCUCAGUUUCGCUCAGCGCACUGUGCCUGUCAACAGCUCUAGUUCCCAUGGGUCUGGUAAUGUGCCGAUGGCAUCAGAAUAUGUCCAGAGCUGA
RNAcentral lists this ribosomal RNA (2217 nucleotides) under Triticum aestivum (bread wheat). Its description in RNAcentral is "partial small subunit ribosomal RNA". The record is from RNAcentral. Lineage: Eukaryota; Viridiplantae; Streptophyta; Magnoliopsida; Poales; Poaceae.